UUAUCUUGAACUCAUACAAAAAAUGUUAUUUUGAAAUAAAAAAAUGCUUCAUCCAAUAGAACGUAUGAUAGUGCAUUUUUUCCUCUAGCUUCUUUCUUUUAUUACCUAUUACCUAUUUAUAUUGUUAUCAAAACCAUCAAUAUCUCAACCAUAACAAAAAAUUAAACAUAAUGUCAUAAAAACAAUAGCAGAAGGAUCAACUUAUGAAUAACAUAAAACUUACUCAAUGAAACUAUGACUUUUGAAAGCUUCUCUAUAUAUGUCUUCACUUUUGUGCUUCAUUUCCAUAUCUUAUUAUAAAUGAAAAAUAGAGAUUAACAAUCAAAUACUGGAAAUUUAUAUUGGAUAAUGCUUUCUUUUACCUUUGAUAUUCUAUAAUUCUUAUACAUUAUGUGUAAAUUAUUUGCUAACCAUAUCAAAGUAUAUUACUGAUAUGUUGGGAGCAUAUUACUAUUUCAAUUUCCAUUUGUUAUUAAUCUAUAAUUUAAACAUCAUUAACUUAUGUAGAUAGGUGUAUGAGUGUUUAAAUACCAAAGGCUACUCUGUCAAUACAUGGCCAGUUGCUGCUUAAUCGGUUCAACAUUGAAACAUAGGAAUCUGCUGCUACAGUGUUUUCGGGAAAAGUAACCCUUCAAAACAAACCAAAAACAAUGUUGCAAGAGAGAUAAGGGAUAGAUUCUCAGAAAUUUUGCAAAUGUAACUGUAAAUGGUAUACAUGUUGAAAAAUAUGUUUGCUUCCUGUGGGAGAUUAUUAUGUUCAGCUAAAAAUUUAAAACCUAGUUCAAAAAGUUAAGAGUUUGAAAUUACAGGAGAUAUACUGAUCAUCAUAUGGAAGAUUUGACACUGAAAAUCCAUAAAGAUCUGAAAAUCCAUCAAAUGUGAAUGGAAAAUGAAAUGAAAAAUUGGGCAUGAUGCUUCAAAAAUUGGGUGUGAUUGCUUGAAGCUUCAAAUGACUUGAAAUGCUUAACGCUUCAGAAUAAGAUUUUGUAGGAAAGAAAAGCUAAAACCUAAAAUGCAAAUUUUCAUCUUCUCACAGCAACGUUUCUGCAAAAAAACAUUAAAUAAAAAAAAUCUUAAACAAACAGGUGACACAAACUGAACAUGCAAACACUCAUAUGCUACAAAAAUGGUGAGAAAUGAGUAAACUUUGUUACCUUAUUAAUACCUCUUACCUUGCUAUAAGAUCUCAUGAUAAAGAAGAUUGAGUGAGUGAGUGAGAUAAUGUAGAUAUAGGAAGUUGUAAGAAGAAAUCAUACCUGUGAAGGAAGAACAUACAGAUUUGUUGAGGAAACAAAUCAUAUUAAGAAAAAAAAUGCAGAAGAAAAUUUUGGUGAGUUUGAAUCAAUGAAGAAAGCCAGAGGGAGAUAGAUUGAAAAAUUGGAGAAAGAAAAAAAGAGAGGGCUUUGGUGAGUUUGAGUCAAUGGAAAAAAGGAGAGAAAGAUGGAAAUGGAGAAAGAGAUAGAGAAAGUCUGAUGGGAAUGGUCAGAAAAG
This 1491-nucleotide long non-coding RNA is filed under the name Lupinus angustifolius (narrow-leaved blue lupine). Its description in RNAcentral is "long non-coding RNA (LANG_LNC003154)". The record is from RNAcentral. Lineage: Eukaryota; Viridiplantae; Streptophyta; Magnoliopsida; Fabales; Fabaceae.